AUCCAACUGACCAGUCCCAAAUAGGACGGAACGCUCAUCCUGAAU
Molecule: non-coding RNA, 45 nt
Organism: Schistosoma rodhaini
Lineage: Eukaryota; Metazoa; Platyhelminthes; Trematoda; Strigeidida; Schistosomatidae
Source: Rfam